CCUACGGGUGGCAGCAGUGAGGAAUAUUGGUCAAUGGGCGGGAGCCUGAACCAGCCAAGUCGCGUGAGGGAAGACGGUCCUAUGGAUGGUAAACCUCUUUAGGCGGGGAGCAAUGCCGGGCACGCGUGCCCGGAGGGAGAGUACCCGCAGAAUAAGCAUCGGCUAAUUCAGUGCCAGCGGCGGCGGUAUAACGGGGGAUGCGGCGUUUAGCCGGAUUUGUGGGGGUAAAGGGGUGCGUAGGGGGAUUUUUAGGUCAGCGUUAAAAUGUCCGGGCUCAACCCGGGCCGGCCGUUGAAACUGGGUAGCUUGAGUGGGCGAGAGGUAUGCGGAAUGCGUGGUGUAGCGGUGAAAUGCAUAGAUAUCACGAAGAACUCCGAUUGCGAAGGCAGCAUACCGGCGCCCGACUGACGCUGAGGCACGAAAGCGUGGGGAGCGAACAGGAUUAGAUACCCGUGUAGUC
RNAcentral lists this ribosomal RNA (460 nucleotides) under uncultured bacterium. RNAcentral's name for it is "partial 16S ribosomal RNA". It matches the Rfam family "Bacterial small subunit ribosomal RNA", at positions 338 to 795 of the family's 1533-position model. The record is from RNAcentral.